UGAAAUACCAGAAUUCAAAAACACCGCUUGGCUCCUGUUACUGACCUAAUGUUCCAAACAUCUAGGAUGAGCAGUCGAGCAAUUCGUAUUCCGUAGAAUAUUUGAAAAAAAACCCCCAAUUAGUUUCUCAAAACUUUCGCAAUUACUAGUAAGACGGCACUACUCCCUUGAAAACACUGAAAACUGAUCUGAGAGCGUCAGUUCUUGCCUUGGUCUAGUUUCGUUCACGAAUUCACGCUUAUCGAUCGGCUCCGACCAGUUUUCUUGGGUGACAUAUGUUUCAGAACGAGGGUUCUUGAAUAUAGGAUAUCAAGGUGUCCUUGUGAAUAUUACAUGUGAUGGCGUGAUGUCACUGCUCAAGCGGGAUAGAUUCAACUUGCGACACAGAUUUUUUGCUGCUCGGACUCGAGCAUCUUACACUAAGGUACUUCACCACGAUAGGACAUAAGAACCUGCCGACGCCUGAGUCUCAACUAGAUUUGUAUUCGCCGAACGAGAUGGUUAUGAAGCUCCAGUGAAGUUGAAGUAUUUGCAAUGAUGGAUGAUCACAUUCCCAGAAGGCGACUUGCACCGUCAUUGAUAUUUCCAGAAAUGAAAAACUGGCUGUGAGACUGCAUAAGAGCUCCAGAAUUUAUUUCAUGGCAUUUCGUUCUCGGAUCGCUUUACUUUCUAAGAUGCACCAGUUCAAAUGCUUCAAAUUAAAAAACAAACAGACUAGGCUAAUGAGAUUCGGGAUGUCUAAGCUAAUGAAUCGGCGGAGAAUCAGAUGGCAGGCAUCCAGCAAAGACUCAAACAGCUUUCGAAUCACUACAGUUGCCAAAGGAAGAAUUAUUAAUAAGAGUUGAUGCGCCUCCGUGUUGAAAUGAUUGACUUCUGAUGCUGUCCGCAACCUGAAAACCUGCUGAAGUCGAAUGACGGAUUGAUUGUCGUCGUUACCAACUUGGACUCCAUUAAAUUGCUCUUGACCACUUUAAACAGCUCCAAAAGAUCUCUAGAACGCUCUAAAUGCUCCGGAUUCACCUUAGAAGAUUCAGAACCACUACCAAACGUCAUGAAAGAGCGAGUUAUUGGAAGAGAUUUACAGCAAGUGGAGGACACUUUGGGAAAGCUGCCAGAGGAUUCGAUUUAGACGGAAAGUGGAAAAACGCGACGGGCUGAAAGCGAGAAGCAUCGCGUGGCAAGAAAAUCCAGUGGUGCAUGGAACUUUUCAGAAUAUUCUAGAUGCUUGGCGUUGAGCAAAAGAUCCAGAAGACCCAGAGAUUGUUGUUCCAGCUCCGAAAGAUCAAAAAUCCCUCCCUGAACUUUCAAUAAAUGCUAACCAGGAUGGUAUGAUGGACUGCGAUUCAAAAGGAUUUUUUCUUCAAUUAUUCGCAGCAAAAUAGUGGGAAUCUGAAAUUGAUUCUGAAUCUUCAAGAGCUUCAAAGCCUUUUUAUGACUCCAGAAGCUCCACAAAUGAUUGAAAAUGCUUGCUCCAGCCAUGAGCACCCAGUCAAAAGAUUGUAAUACACAGCCUAAGAAAUAAAUCGUCUGGAGAUUAUAAGGACAACGGUUGCUCCCGGUUAAAGUGAAUAGUGAGGCACCUCCAAGAUUUUUGCUGCUUAGAACAACAGAAAUGUUUCUGCCACAAUCUCAAGUGAUUCCGAUGUAGUUGCUUCCUUCUGUGGUCCAUUCGAGGAGAAAAAGCAACGCCGCGAAGGUUGUCAACACUUCAGGAAUUCUAAUUCACUCUACAAGUCAGGCUGUAUAUCAAGGAGGAGAUGAUCGAGUAGACGAGAAUCGCCGUACCUGAACCAAAGCGUAGCCUUCUAAGUGAGCCUUUAUCUUCAUUCUAGAAGACAGCUGGUAAUCUGAUUGGAAUGCUAUUUGUUUCAAAUGUGAAAAACCACUUCAUGGUUUAGGUUCCUGAAAACUUCCUGAAAUUUCGCAAUGUGAUUCAC
This 1937-nucleotide long non-coding RNA is filed under the name Caenorhabditis briggsae. Its description in RNAcentral is "lncRNA CBG16095". The record is from RNAcentral. Lineage: Eukaryota; Metazoa; Nematoda; Chromadorea; Rhabditida; Rhabditidae.